This 516-nucleotide ribosomal RNA is filed under the name Tardigrada sp. P006 MOTU003. RNAcentral's name for it is "SSU rRNA". It matches the Rfam family "Eukaryotic small subunit ribosomal RNA", at positions 43 to 557 of the family's 1831-position model. Lineage: Eukaryota; Metazoa; Tardigrada. The record is from RNAcentral.
AUUAAGCCAUGCAUGUCUAAGUACUUGCUUUAACAAGGCGAAACCGCGAAUGGCUCAUUAAAUCAGUUAUGGUUCACUAGAUCGUAUAUCCUACACGGAUAACUGAGGUAAUUCUUCAGCUAAUACGUGCUACAAGCUCGUUCCCUUGUGGAGCGAGCGCAGUUAUUAGAACAAAACCAAUCCGGCCCUUGGGUCGGUUAAAAUGGUGACUCUGAAUAACCGAAGCGGAGCGUAUGGUCUCGUACCGACGCCAGAUCUUUCAAGUGACUGCUCUAUCAGCUUGUUGUUAGGUUAUGCUCCUAACAAGGCUUCAACGGGUAACGGGGUAUCAGGGUCCGAUACCGGAGAGGGAGCCUGAGAAACGGCUACCACAUCCAAGGAAGGCAGCAGGCGCGCAAAUUACCCACUCCCAGCACGGGGAGGUAGUGACGAAAAAUAACGAUGCGAGGGCAUAUUGCUUCUCGUAAUCGGAAUGGGUACACUUUAAAUCCUUUAACGAGGAUCUAUUGGAGGGCA